Molecule: unclassified non-coding RNA, 304 nt
Filed under: uncultured fungus
Lineage: Eukaryota; Fungi
Description: partial contains small subunit ribosomal RNA, internal transcribed spacer 1, and 5.8S ribosomal RNA
Rfam family: Eukaryotic small subunit ribosomal RNA (bases 1-73)
Source: RNAcentral
GCAAACUUGGUCAUUUAGAGGAAGUAAAAGUCGUAACAAGGUUUCCGUAGGUGAACCUGCGGAAGGAUCAUUACCGAGUCCGGGCUCCCACGAGCCCAACUCCCACCCGUGUCUACCGUUACCGCGUUGCUUUGGCGGGCCCACUGGAACCCCACGGUUCCGGUCGCCGGAGGACUAUUGCCCUCGGGCCCGCGCCCGCCGAGCACCCCUGAACCCUGUGUGAAUAGUGAGUCUGAGUGUCUAUUGAAUCGUUAAAACUUUCAACAACGGAUCUCUUGGUUCCGGCAUCGAUGAAGAACGCAGC